AAAGGUCCCACAUCGGAAGU
This 20-nucleotide small nuclear RNA is filed under the name Arabidopsis thaliana (thale cress). RNAcentral's name for it is "snRNA_00423". Lineage: Eukaryota; Viridiplantae; Streptophyta; Magnoliopsida; Brassicales; Brassicaceae. The record is from RNAcentral.